RNAcentral lists this small RNA (151 nucleotides) under Arabidopsis thaliana (thale cress). RNAcentral's name for it is "ATSL156790". The record is from RNAcentral. Lineage: Eukaryota; Viridiplantae; Streptophyta; Magnoliopsida; Brassicales; Brassicaceae.
AAACAUGAAAGGAAAAAAAAUUGUUAAGAAAAAAGGCAAUUUGCAGCAAAAAGAAGAAGGAAAGGGGUAAACUGUAGUUGCGGUCGUUUGAACACAGGACCAAGGAAUUUUCAAAAGUCAACAAAACCAUCUUAGCUACCAAAAUCUAUUA